Molecule: RNase P RNA, 405 nt
Filed under: Streptococcaceae bacterium
Lineage: Bacteria; Bacillati; Bacillota; Bacilli; Lactobacillales; Streptococcaceae
Description: RNase P RNA component class B
Rfam family: Bacterial RNase P class B
About the family: Ribonuclease P (RNase P) is a ubiquitous endoribonuclease, found in archaea, bacteria and eukarya as well as chloroplasts and mitochondria. Its best characterised activity is the generation of mature 5'-ends of tRNAs by cleaving the 5'-leader elements of precursor-tRNAs. Cellular RNase Ps are ribonucleoproteins.
Source: RNAcentral
GUUUUCGGAUAAUCGCGCGUUUGCUCUUGAUAGAGUAAACGUGAGGAAAGUCCAGGCUCGUCCACGCUGAGAAGUCUUCAUCUUAAAAUGAUUGAAGCGCGUGGAGUGAUUGUGGUUCGCGAAUAAAUAAGCGGACGUAGGGCGUCAACCCUAACGGCGGUGAAAUGGACUAAGUCUGGAUUUUUAAAGUCAAGAUAUGCCAGAUUAGCCUGAAAGUGCCAUAGAGACGAAUCGUUCUGGAAACGGAACGGCUGGAACGUGGUAAACCCCUCAAGCGAGCAACCCAAACUACGGUCGGGGCAUUCAGCUAGCCGAAAUUGAAGGCGCGGCUGAGCGUGCAGUCUGCACGAGACAGAUGAUUAUCCCGCUCUGAUGAUUCAGGCGGACAAAACUUGGCUUAUAGAA